AAGACUAUAGACCUGCGGAGUACCUGCGGAGGGAUCAUUACUGAGUUUACAACUCCCAAACCCAAUGUGAACGUUACCAAACUGUUGCCUCGGCGGGAUCUCUGCCCCGGGUGCGUCGCAGCCCCGGACCAAGGCGCCCGCCGGAGGACCAACCAAAACUCUUUUGUAUACCCCCUCGCGGGUUUUUAUAUCUGAGCCAUCUCGGCGCCUCUCGUAGGCGUUUCGAAAAUGAAUCAAAAC
Molecule: unclassified non-coding RNA, 240 nt
Filed under: soil metagenome
Description: partial contains 5.8S ribosomal RNA, internal transcribed spacer 2, and large subunit ribosomal RNA
Source: RNAcentral